GACGAACGCUGGCGGCGUGCUUAACACAUGCAAGUCGAGCGAGGCCCAUCCGGUGGCAACACCGGGGAAGGCCGAGCGGCGAACGGGUGAGUAACACGUGAGCAACCUGCCCCGAAGUCUGGAAUAACAUCGGGAAACCGGUGCUAAUACCGGAUCGCCCCACCUGACCGCAUGAUCGGGUGAGGAAAGAUUUAUCGCUUCGGGAGGGGCUCGCGGCCUAUCAGCUAGUUGGUGGGGUAACGGCCUACCAAGGCGUCGACGGGUAGCUGGUCUGAGAGGACGACCAGCCACACUGGGACUGAGACACGGCCCAGACUCCUACGGGAGGCAGCAGUAGGGAAUCUUGCGCAAUGGGCGGAAGCCUGACGCAGCAACGCCGCGUGGGGAUGACGGCCU
This 396-nucleotide ribosomal RNA is filed under the name uncultured bacterium. Its description in RNAcentral is "bacterial SSU rRNA". It matches the Rfam family "Bacterial small subunit ribosomal RNA", at positions 28 to 417 of the family's 1533-position model. The record is from RNAcentral.